UAGGGAAUAUUAGAAAUGGACGAAAGUCUGAUCUAGCAACACCGCGUGUGCGAAGAAGGCCUUCGGGUUGUAAAGCACUUUUUGGAAGGAUUAGGAAGGACGGUACUCUCAGAAUAAGUCUCGGCUAACUACGUGCCAGCAGCCGCGGUAACACGUAGGAGGCAAACGUUAUCCGGAUUUACUGGGCGUAAAGCGCGUGUAGGUGGUUUGGUAAGUAUAGCGUGAAAGCUCCUGGCUCAACUGGGAGAGGUCGUUCUAAACUGCCGGACUAGAGGAUGGUAGAGGGAGGUGGAAUUCCGGGUGUAGCGGUGGAAUGCGCAGAUAUCCGGAGGAACACCAGUGGCGAAAACGGCCUCCUGGACCACUCCUGACACUCAGACGCGAAAGCUAGGGUAGCAAACG
This 402-nucleotide ribosomal RNA is filed under the name uncultured prokaryote. RNAcentral describes it as "bacterial SSU rRNA". It matches the Rfam family "Bacterial small subunit ribosomal RNA", at positions 355 to 774 of the family's 1533-position model. The record is from RNAcentral.